UAGAACAGUAACUACCUUUUUUUCAAACACAAAAACACACCAAACUCCCUCUAAACUUGCUCAAACGGAUCUCCAUUCAUUUUGCUUCUUCUAAGGCAAGAAAGUUAUCAAGAAUAUAAAGAGUAAAUGUCCAUAAUCCCUUGUAUUCACAUUGUUAAUUUUAUAUGAUCUUUUUUUUUCUUCAAAAUUUGGACAAAUGUUAGUGUUUAAUGUUGAAGACAUUAAUGAAUUUUUUGGCAAUUUGUGAUCGAAUAUUGACAUUUUUGACUUGGAAUGUUAUUUAGACUUGGUUUAAGUUCAAUGUGAUAGUUUAAAAGUUGAAAUAACACAAUGAAUAGAGAUUAUAUAUUUUGCACUCAAAGUGUUUGAUGAAAUGCUUGAAUGAGUUUAUCAUUGAUUUUUUUUUCAUUUUUUUAUGUUGCGUAGACAUGGCUGACAAGCGCAUGCUGGGAAAGGAGACCGUGACUGGUAGCUUACGCAGAGAGAGAGAGGCAAGAAGUGAACCCUAUGCCUAAACGGGGACAUGGGCGUAGGAAUGAUGGGGAGAGGACCUCACAGACGGGUACGUCUCAGGACCAAUAUUAUGUGAUUUAAGAUCAGUACUAUGAUCCCACUAAGGAGCACUACCAAGACCCUACUCAGAAGGAGUAUUACUAGAUUGAGCAUCAUCAUGAGGAUCCUAAACAACAUGAUGCACCAACACCCUCACCGGCACCUAAUGCUAUUCUAA
This 730-nucleotide long non-coding RNA is filed under the name Medicago truncatula (barrel medic). RNAcentral describes it as "long non-coding RNA (MTRU_LNC005025)". The record is from RNAcentral. Lineage: Eukaryota; Viridiplantae; Streptophyta; Magnoliopsida; Fabales; Fabaceae.